GUGAGAAGUCAGGGGGAACCCCUUCCCUCACAAAACCCUAAAUCACUAGAUUCCAUCAAUUGAAAGCCAGAUUAUUGAAGAAUCGAAUGCAUGACCUAAGAAUCCUGAUUAUCUAAGUGUUCUUGAUCUCAAGCACGGAGAAGGAAGAAGGCGCAAGUCACUCGAAGGCACAAGUAUCUCAAGAUCGCGGUAAAUCUCAAGUUUAAAUGUGGCGCACUCGGACCGAUCACACGCACACGCAACGCCGACCUUAUGCGCUUCCGGUCCAAGUUGUUUAUUUUGAAUGGGUCAAUUUAACAUUUUGUGUAGUUAAUGUCAAUUAGUAAGUGUCUAGUUUGUUAGCAUGAAAUUUGGUUCCUAAACUUUUGGUUUUAAUUGUACAAAAUGUUAUCGGUGGACCUUAUAUGACCACCACUU
Helianthus annuus (common sunflower) is the source of this 417-nucleotide long non-coding RNA. RefSeq lists it as uncharacterized. The record is from RefSeq and is a predicted model, not a curated record. Lineage: Eukaryota; Viridiplantae; Streptophyta; Magnoliopsida; Asterales; Asteraceae. The transcript is spliced from 3 exons.